Molecule: long non-coding RNA, 2276 nt
Filed under: Homo sapiens (human)
Lineage: Eukaryota; Metazoa; Chordata; Mammalia; Primates; Hominidae
Description: non-protein coding CELF2-AS2:3
Source: RNAcentral
UGGCCAACUCUUCUGGAAGGGCUGAAGAACUGUUAUCCCUCUGCAGUACAUGGGGGUUUGAGCUCACGUCAAUGUGCCUGACCUAAGGGCAAAUGGAGCUAAGCAGGAGGGAGAAUUAGACACUUGCCACGGCUUGGAGACAGGGUCUACUGCUCUCUGCUGAACCAGAGGAAAGAACACACUGGCUCCUGAACCUUCGCAGGAAGACAAGGCGAGGGCUGCUGGGUGCCCGUCGCUGCUCACAGCACAGAACGUCCCACUCCUCAGACUCUUUGUCCCCGUCCUAAGACUGUCCUUCACUUGGUCCAUCCAAUCCAAAAUAUGGGCAUACGAAACACACCUCAUCCUUCACACACACAACAUGCUCAACCUUCACUAGCCACGUGACUUUCUUUCUCACAUCAUCCUGAAUUUGCUUUUCUGAAAUUUACUUUUCAAUCUUCUGACUUUUCUUCAUACCUAAGAAGACUGGACAAAGUGCUUGAAAAGCAAAUGGAAACAUUUUAUGAAUAACUACGCAAAGGAAAGACAUAUAAAUAUUUUUAAAGUUUCCCUUCUACAGAAAUGAGCUUAAGUCAACACUACAGUUGCCACUAAGUGUAAGGAUUCGUGAAGGGGAAAACGACGGACUCCCUUCCCUCUGUUCUUCUCAAGUAAUGCAAAUUAGAGAAGAGACGGGGGCGGGGAGAGAAGAGGAAUGCUGAAAGGGCAUUAUGCUUUUGCUAUUUAGUAAAAGAAGUAUCAACAUGCCUUCUGAUGACUCCUGAACAUCCCUUACAAAUGAAGGAGCCACAGAGUGGGGCAACUCCAUGCCUUUAUCACUCAGCCAGCCAAGGAAGAGGAAGACAAUCAAGCCACACUUGACAAGGGACAAGACCAUUCACUUUCAGGGCCAAGGGGAUUAGGACAGAGCAGCAUUUUCCCAUAGUGACAAGAGGAAACAAGAGAAUCGAAAGCAUCUUUCAAUUCCAUUCUGAGUCAAAGAGGUUGUUCUUGCAGCCCAACUGGGAACCUACAUGCAAACCAGUUCUAUGAGAAAAUAUGUCCCCAAAUUCCAGGAUAUCUGCUUCCCAUCCUCAGUUAGCAUACCUCCGUUUUAUAAUGUAAAAAAAAAAGGGAAAUCAGGAUUCACCUAAAUGAAUAUCAAUCAAAUGGAUAUUCCACAACUCAAGUGAUACCUGUGAACCCGAGGUGUUAGUAAACUUAAGGGUCACCAUCUACAGACUCCACAGGGAUGGGAGAUACUCUUGUGCUCCUAUGGUUGGGGCUGCCUCUAUAUCCUUUGCUUUAAAAUUCAGAAGGAGUGAAGAUCAGCUCAGGCAAUAAUGCUGGUUUGUCCCAGAGUCCAGAAUCUGCUAUGUUACCCAGAGUCUCUUAUGCUCAAAGAGGCUGUCAAAGAACGGGGUGUGGCUACCGUGGCCUCCCAGGGGCAAGUGGUCACACUCCAGCCUCACAAAGUGAGCACUGACUGUAGAGGUUCCACUAUGGUCAUGGUCUUAGCAAUAUGCAGGAAACACAGUCCAACCAUUCAUUGUCAUCUGGGUAAAAUACAAUUAAACAUCAAAGACUUGAGUCUCACAUAGUGACAUCAAAAUCUUUCCCUCAAGGCAAAGAAACAACUUGUCACAUGCACUUAAAAGAGGUUCUAUAAGUUAACAUUAGAGAGAGGAGGAGAAGGUACAAAACCCUGGGAGAGAAAAACACAUAAUUCUCUCAAAUUAGUGUCUUCCAUGGGCUGAAAACAUCUAUUAAAUGGGGACUUUGAUCCUAAAGAAAAAACGACAAAAGAAUGUUGCUCGACCUCACCUCUAUCAACUUUCCUCUGUUUCACCUGGAAUGUGUAACUCAGCUGUCCACAUCUUGGACCACUUGACCAUGCUGUGUGAUCCUAAGGACAUAACCCAAAAGGCAAUCUCCAAACUCACGGUGUCGUCACCAAUUCAACAUUUCUAUUUUAAUGUGGGAUCAACUUGUCAUGGUCACAAUGCUGAUUAUGACUUCCAUCCAGUUUUCCUUCUAUACAUGUCCAAACAUGUCACCAACAUGACCCCAUUGACUCGGGACUUGUCAGGGGUGAGAUAUGAAAGGAUUCAGAUCUGUUUUGUUCCUGCGUGGGGUCCCAGAACUACUUCCAGCAGCAAGACAGUUAAGAGACACAUUGGAUGAGGCAACAGCGGGGAAGAAAGGGAGCUGAUCUUGAAUUGGCUGUGUACUGACAGAUUGUAUGAAUGAAAGCAAUAAAAAUAAGCCCCAAAAUCUGGGUUUUGAGUGGAAAA